Molecule: ribosomal RNA, 490 nt
Filed under: uncultured bacterium
Lineage: Bacteria
Description: partial 16S ribosomal RNA
Rfam family: Bacterial small subunit ribosomal RNA
Source: RNAcentral
AGGGAACGCGGGAGGGAGGAGUAACACAUGCAAGUCGAACGGCAGCACAUGUGUGCUUGCUCUCUGGGUGGCGAGUGUCGUACGGGUGAGGAAUAUAUCGGAAUCUGCCUAGUUGUGGGGGUGAAUGUAGGGAAACUUACGCUAAUACCGCAUACGUCUGGUGGGUGAAAGAGGGGGAUCGCAAGACUGCGUUUGUUUGUGUGAGCCGAUGUCGGAUUAGCUAGUUGGCGGGUUAAUGGCCUACCAAGGCGACGAUCCGUAGCUGGUCUGAGAGGAUGAUGAGCCACACUGGAACUGAGACACGGUCCAGACUCCUACGGGAGCACGCAGUGGGCACACUUGGACAAUGGGCGCAAGCCUGAUCCAGCCAUACCGCGUGGGAGAAGAAGGAAUUCGGGUUGUAAAGCCCUUUUGUUGGGAAAGACAAAAAACAGGCUAAUACCCUGGGAGGAUGACGGUACCCAAAGAAUAAGCACCGGCUCUCUUCGUC